AAAGGAGUAGUUGAAACCCCUAUUUCAAAGGAAAAUGCACAAAAAUAGUGGUCUGCUAAAACCACCUGUAGCACCUGCUAUGAACCGUAGCAGACAUAACCCCCCAACUUCAAUUGGAAAGCCAGAACCAGUGGCCUCCUACGGCCACCCGUAGCAGGAAAGCGUGUGAUUUUUAGAAACUUUCCCUUUUUAGGCCAAAUUUGGAAAUUAUUGGUGAUUGGGCUAUUUUCAGACCUGAUCUUAUUGUCUAGAAAAAUCUGAUUGACUAGGGGAAUCUGCAAAAGGGAUAUUUCUCUAUUUAAGCGAAUUUGCUAUCAUAGUUGAAAGUACUUCUUUUUGGA
RNAcentral lists this long non-coding RNA (341 nucleotides) under Lathyrus oleraceus (garden pea). Its description in RNAcentral is "Pisum sativum (pea) long non-coding RNA (PSAT_LNC011590)". Lineage: Eukaryota; Viridiplantae; Streptophyta; Magnoliopsida; Fabales; Fabaceae. The record is from RNAcentral.